This 531-nucleotide ribosomal RNA is filed under the name Alternaria alternata. RNAcentral describes it as "eukaryotic LSU rRNA". The stretch from base 164 to 317 matches the Rfam family "5.8S ribosomal RNA". The record is from RNAcentral. Lineage: Eukaryota; Fungi; Ascomycota; Dothideomycetes; Pleosporales; Pleosporaceae.
GUUUCAUUUGAGGCGGGCUGGACCUCUCGGGGUUACAGCCUUGCUGAAUUAUUCACCCUUGUCUUUUGCGUACUUCUUGUUUCCUUGGUGGGUUCGCCCACCACUAGGACAAACAUAAACCUUUUGUAAUUGCAAUCAGCGUCAGUAACAAAUUAAUAAUUACAACUUUCAACAACGGAUCUCUUGGUUCUGGCAUCGAUGAAGAACGCAGCGAAAUGCGAUAAGUAGUGUGAAUUGCAGAAUUCAGUGAAUCAUCGAAUCUUUGAACGCACAUUGCGCCCUUUGGUAUUCCAAAGGGCAUGCCUGUUCGAGCGUCAUUUGUACCCUCAAGCUUUGCUUGGUGUUGGGCGUCUUGUCUCUAGCUUUGCUGGAGACUCGCCUUAAAGUAAUUGGCAGCCGGCCUACUGGUUUCGGAGCGCAGCACAAGUCGCACUCUCUAUCAGCAAAGGUCUAGCAUCCAUUAAGCCUUUUUUUCAACUUUUGACCUCGGAUCAGGUAGGGAUACCCGCUGAACUUAAGCAUAUCAAAAAA